This 380-nucleotide long non-coding RNA is filed under the name Daucus carota (carrot). Its description in RNAcentral is "long non-coding RNA (DCAR_LNC007548)". Lineage: Eukaryota; Viridiplantae; Streptophyta; Magnoliopsida; Apiales; Apiaceae. The record is from RNAcentral.
CCAUUAUACCAAACAUAGUCUGAAAGAAAUUGAGAAUGAACCGACAAGGCAGGGGCGGUUUGGGGAGGGGAGGAGAUGUACUCUAGGCUUUUUGAGGAAGUGGAGUAUGCUCUCAGUCACAACACACCUAAGAAGGAUUUCUCCGACCAUCAUGUACCGUGCUUCACCAGUAACAACAAAUCGAAGAUGAUCAAGGGGCGAACAAUUUUAAUUACAAUUUAUCUGAAAAGGUCCGGGGCAAAGGAGUAGGAGAUUAAUACGGAGCACUGAGCAGGCAGGGAAGGUGAAGGGGGUAACGGAUAGUUAACGGGGUAUUAACGGGUGAAUAAAAUGGCUCACCGACGUUUAUGAAAGUCGUUGUUGCAGCAUUAUAGAUAUAA